RNAcentral lists this long non-coding RNA (2419 nucleotides) under Salmo salar (Atlantic salmon). Its description in RNAcentral is "lncRNA (ENSSSAG00000082080.1)". The record is from RNAcentral. Lineage: Eukaryota; Metazoa; Chordata; Actinopteri; Salmoniformes; Salmonidae.
GUAAGUCCUCAGAAAACGGAUAUAUUGUUUGAUUGAGUUUAAUAGGUUAAUUGAUUUAUUUACAUUUCUCUAAGAAAACACAGUUAUCAGAUGUAAACAAGUGGUGAUAGCAGGAGUUCUGUCCUUCAGACCUGGUUAUCAGUGCAUUACAGUGGGUUACAAUGCAACUCCACUCUAAUCCUCUGCGGUGAACUCUAAAGUUCACAGAAACAGUCAAAGUGUGAGCAACCACCCCAGUACAGCAAAGAGAGACCCCCUGUCUCUACCCCUCUACACAGAACCCCCCAAACACUAGGGAGUCCUCAGACAGAGAGAGAGAGAGAGAGAGAGCAAAAGCAGGGGAGAAAAGAACAAAGCCUUACAAAUCAAGAUAAAUCUCAAGUGCUGAGGGAUUCAUGAGAUUUUUAUUGUUUUUUAAAGUGUGUGGGGGGGGAAAUCCUUUGCAUUUUAAUGAAAAUUUUGAAUGGAAUGUAAAUAAAGGAAAGAAUACAGAAUUACGUAAACAAAAAAGCAACACAACAACUUCAUCGUUGGGUUUUGAUGGAAUUUUUAACAAGGCUGACAGCGAUUGUCACACUGAUGGUGUGAAGCAGUCACACGCUCACCUUAGCCAGAGUGAUGAGAAGGCAUUAUGACUUGGGCUUAAGUCCAGGUGAAAAGCAAUGGGUCCCUUGAAGAAUAGAUGAUGUUUUCAUAAGCCAAUCUAGGACUAUAUGAUUGGUUGAACACUUAGAUGUGUCUGGAGCAAUUCUAAUUGGCUGUUCAAGGACCAUCUGAUGGUGCUAUUGACCACUUUACUGAGUGAUAGCUUAGGCUGGUAAACAUGUCUUAUUCAUACUUCUAAAAAGCUGCUUAAAUGAAAGCAUCUAUCCACACAGACAAGUGGACAGGGAAACAGAGGGAGAUGGGCACGAAGAGAGAUGGGGAGGUGGAGAGAUGGGGAGGAAGAGAGAUGGGGAGGAAGAGAGAUGGGGAGGAAGAGAGAUGGGGAGGUAGAGAGAUGGGGAGGUAGAGAGAUGGGGAGGUGGAGAGAUAGGUGACAGAGACAGAUAUCUAGUAAGGGUAAUAAUGGGGUAAUAGCUCAAGCGGACACGACAAACACUCUCCAGUGUGACCUUUCAGGUGUGUGUGUGUGUUGGAAGGACAGGGGACUAGAUAACUCUGGAGAAGGCUGAGCCUCAAUGGUUGAGUGACCUCAUACAUCACCCUGGGACUCUGCUGGUCUCACAGUGAAAUUAGGGAUUUUGUCCCCCCGGCGCGCGUAAACACUUGCACACACGUGUGCGGAAAUACACACACGCAUACAUGUGCAUACACACACACGAUACGCACCCACAUGAUAUGAACACACACACACACACCUCAGCUUGAGAAGGACAUGCUACUGUGGGUUACUGUCUGUUACCAUGACACUUCCUGUCUGGAGUCCAUCCAGCCUCUCUUACACAACCAGACUAUCAAUCAGGGAGCCUUUCCUACACACUUCCACUAGAGCCAUGAAUACACACACACACAGACACAAACACCUGUAUAUGGGCAAUAUUUUCAAUUUCCCCCCUUUAAUUCUGUACCAUACAGCAUGUACUGUACUGUAAGUGCACCAGCUAUCUGACAAGAAUCUGGAGAUGUAACAGAACAUCCUUAUACUUCUAGUAUCUCAAGGAAACUUGCUGAUUAGCAGAAUAAUUAUCUUAUUAGCAAAGUCACUUAACAAGUGAUAAAAUACAUGAGUCAUUUAGAAGAGUUCCAUCUGAUACUACGUCCAAAAAGCAACGAAAAAUCAUAUUAGACUAAUCAGCACUAAUCCGAAAUGACAAUGGCAGAACCUGAGACCUAACAAACAAUGAAGAGAGAGAGGGAGAGAAGACAAUGACAAAUAGAGGAUGAAAAAGGAAGCAAGAAAUGAAGAAAAGUGAGAGAGGAAAGGAUGACAGAAAACUGAAAAGAUGAGCAGGAUGGAAUGAUGGGUAAAUGGAGGACAUUUAAAAGGAUAAUAAAGUGAAGGAGCAUAGAAAAGAUAAUACAGAAUGUUCUUUGUCCGGGCCUGUUGAAAGGAAGACAGAAAGUCUCCAGCGCUGGUACACGGUGUGAGAGGGAUGAAUAUAGCUAGUCUGCUCACCAGAGCAAACAAACACGCUCAGAAAAACAUGAACAACAGGUGAUAAUGUUAGCACUACUGGACUGUGAUUAAUCAAUGACAGCAAUCUACUAAUUACAGCCUCCAAUCAAUUACCUCCACACUCAUUACCCAGUCAACACGUCUCUAUAUCCUCCACACUCAUUAACCACUCAACACAACACGUCUCUAUAUCCUCCAUAGCAUUAACCAGUCAACACAAUACAUCUAUAUAUCCUCCAUAGCAUUAACCAGUCAACACAAUACAUCUAUAUAUCCUCCAUAGCAUUAACCAGUCAACAC